UUUUUAUGCUUUGUUACAAAAGUUCAUGAUAAGCUUUUUGAUAACAGUUGGUGACCUGUAGUUAAAACACAGAUACUAACUUGUAGAGCACUGAUUAGAAACCGCGAUAAAACGAUACAUAUAUUUAGUGGGUGUUUUGUGCAAUUCAGUUAACCAAUACAUGAAGGAACCUGCAUUCAGUUACAAAAAACUUAAUCAGAUGUGUGGUAAUGCUAUAAUUGUUGACUAUAAGACUCAUUUUGAGCUUAAAGGUCUGAUUGUUACAGUAAAAUAAUUUGAAAUGUCCGCUUUUAGAACUUCCGUGUAGUAUUUACGCCAUAUCUCUAUCUGUAUGGUUAUAUUGACGACCAAGGUGAAUAU
RNAcentral lists this long non-coding RNA (360 nucleotides) under Mytilus galloprovincialis (Mediterranean mussel). The record is from RNAcentral. Lineage: Eukaryota; Metazoa; Mollusca; Bivalvia; Mytilida; Mytilidae.